UGCGGUUAAAAAGCUCGUAGUUGGAUUUCUGUUGAGAGCAGCGCGUCUACCUUUUGGGUAAGUAUGUUGCUUGGUCUUGGCAUCUUCGUGGGAAACGUUCCUGCGCUUGAUUGCGUGGGGCGGGGUUCACGACUUUUACUUUGAGGAAAUUAGAGUGUUCACGGCAGGCAUACGCCUUGAAUAUAUUAGCAUGGAGUAAUAACAUAGGGCUUACGGCCUAUUUUGUUGGUUUCUAGGCUGCAGGCAAUGAUUAAUAGGGACAAUUGGGGGCAUUCGUAUUAACGCGUCAGAGGUGAAAUUCUUGGAUUGCGUUACGACGAACUACUGCGAAAGCAUUUGCCAAGGAUGUUUUCAUUGAUCAAGAACGAAAGUAAGGGGAUCGAAGAUGAUUAGAUACCGUCGUAGUCUUUACCAUAAGCUAUGCCAACUAGAGAUGAGGCGUCGUUCUACUUUGACUCGCUUCGCACCUUAUGAGAAAUCAAAGUUUUUGGGUUCCGGGGGGAGUAUGGUCGCAAGGCUGAAACUUAAAGGAAUUGACGGAAGGGCACCACCAGGAGUGGAGCCUGCGGCUUAAUUUGACUCAACACGGGAAAACUCACCAGGUCCAGACAUANUAAGGAUUGACAGAU
RNAcentral lists this ribosomal RNA (629 nucleotides) under uncultured eukaryote. Its description in RNAcentral is "bacterial SSU rRNA". It matches the Rfam family "Eukaryotic small subunit ribosomal RNA", at positions 614 to 1248 of the family's 1831-position model. The record is from RNAcentral.